GUUUCUCGUGCAGGGGAUCAGCGCGUCUCGUCAUCCUCCUGACGUUUGAAAAUGCAAAUCCAUUGCUCAAUGAGAGUGGCGUGCUGAAUGCAACAAACACUUUCUUGGACUCGCGACUCACGGCCUCGAACAGCUCGCAGAGGCUCCAGAGUUACACUUAUAAAGGUGAGUUUGCCGACACUGUACGCCACUCCUCAUGUCCCCGAUUUCGCCUUUUCCUUGGCGGCCGGCUGCAAAACGUGUACGUGGGGCAGGAAAGCAGUUUUAUGCUAUUGCUAUUUUUUGCACAAGUCUCAGGCCCGGGAGUCAGCGUGUUUCAGCGCUCACCGGAAUCUGAUUAACUGAACGUCAUGGAAACGCAUUAACGAUGCCGGGCUCUCCCUCUCUCUUCCUCCUAGCACAGCUCCGGAAAGUACGGUGUUAGCCGUGCACCUUGCACCCAGAACAGGUGUUCCACCUGUACUGCUUCAAGUAGCGUAAAGCAAGGCUCAACAUUGUAUUUCCGCUGUUCUUCUAGAGGUGUCCAACAGCUCCUUUGUGCUCAACUUUACCUUCUCGAUGGGGAACGUCACCAUCUCUCCGAAUGAUCAGGUCAUGAAUGCCACUUACAGCCAGAUCCAGGACACCAUCAAUACUCUGAUGAACAGAAUGCUGAACAGUCAACCAGCAACUCCCGUCGUCUUUCCACGGGCAAAUUUCACCGUGACGGGUGACCAGGUGGAGGCCGUCGUGAGUUACGUCGUUCGAAAGGGCGACGUCAGCAACCCGAGCCCUUACCUCUCCGAGAUGCUGAGAAUCAGCGGUCUUGAUGUUACCACGACAGCAGCAACAGCAACAGCAGCCACAACCCUUCCGACCGCAGCAGGAACGACUGGGUCUCAGACCACGUA
This 890-nucleotide long non-coding RNA is filed under the name Scleropages formosus (Asian bonytongue). RNAcentral describes it as "lncRNA (ENSSFOG00015027410.1)". The record is from RNAcentral. Lineage: Eukaryota; Metazoa; Chordata; Actinopteri; Osteoglossiformes; Osteoglossidae.